CCACUUACUGUUACGGCUGUCUUGAAAGAUGAACUAAGCACCUAGGGCUCUUCUGGGUGACCACCUUACAGGCCAUCAGAGGUGCAUCACCACGCCUGUGUUUGCAUUCUGAGCCGGUGGUGACUUUGGCCUGACUCUAUCUUAUGCACAAGGAAACUGGGGCUCAGGGGAGCGUGGGGGUGUGCCUCGGCCGCACAGCCCUGUGGGUGCAGGCCUGAGGGGUGUUGUGGGGCCCCGUCCCCUCCCACACUGGCCUCUGCCUCUGCCUCUCGCCCCUGUCAUCAGUCGUGGGACGUGGGCUCUAAAUCUGAUUUGAUUACUGAGGACAAACUAGCUUAUAAAAUGCUGCAGAGCAGUGUCUUUCCUCUCCGAGAACUGGAUAUAAUAAAGUUGGCUUGAUCUCCCCAGCCUGUAUCUUGAGGGAACAAGUAAAUUAAACAAGUAAUUAUAUCCAUAAUGUUUUUAGAAGUUAGAAGAUUUAAAUAUAUGAAUCUCAUCUGAGCUUGCUGCCUUUUGUCUGCGGUGUUUCCUGCCAAAAGAUCUCUUGACAGGAAAUAAACAUUAAAAUAAUCUUUAAUCCCUUGUCUGGUCUAUUACCAUUAACAAUUGAUGCACUUUAAUUUUGUGGGAUUUUAACUACAAAAUGGAACGGCUAAGUAGUGAUAAUUGGGUUUGGAAUUAUACGGUCAUUUAUAUCAACAGAGAUGCAAGAGGCUGGGAGGGAGGGUGAUUAAUUAUUUACUCUUUCCUGGCUGUGGUUCCUAUUAUAGAAUUUUCUGAUAUGUUCUGCUGUGAACAAUUAUCACCAAAUGAAAGUAAACAAAUCUGUGAUCUGAAGCCUUAUUUAGAAGUUAGUCUAUAUUUAGGUGAUCAGGGCUUGGUUUUCACGGACCCUGUGGGCUGGGCGCAUUCCUUUUCUCAGGGUCCCGCCAGCUCUGAAUUUGAAUAUGCUUCUCUCUCUGCAUCUUAAAAACUCUAGAACAUGCAGCCCUGGGGAGACCCCUCGGUUUGCCAGGGGAGGACCACACCAGCCCUGAGCCAGAUCUCCGGUCAGUGCCAGCGAUGUAUCUGGGAGGGGGGCCUGGGUGGAUCCUCCCCAUCCCUGGCUUGCUGCAUCACGGCGCGGGGAGACCCAGGAGCAAAAUGGGUGUGUCCGCCUGAGAGCAAGGGUGGUGCUCUGCUCUCUCUGUGUGAGAGUGGGUGCUCAUGGAGCCCCCCUUCCUGCCUCCGUCUCCCUGUCCUCGUUCAGUGACCCAUCCACGCUGUGAUCAGGCCUUUGCAGGGGGCAGUCACCCAUCCGACACGCACUCCCCUUCUGCCUCGCUUGGUGGUGACCCGCAUCCGUAGAGCACACCCGCGUAUCUUUUUGCCUCUCCCUCCAUGUGACUCCUUCCAAAGCAAGGGGCCGGCAUCCUUAAGUAGACAGAUCCCUCUGAUGUGCGGGGAUCGAUGGGUCCUGGGUACCAUGUGUUCCCUGGGAAGCGGCAGGACGCGUAAAGCAAAGGGGUGGUCACAAGCCAUGCCGAGCGUCACUCGGACAGUCACGGUCCGUUCCCAGGCUCUGUGCCGUCAGGGCCUGGGACCAGACGUGUGAUAAGCAAGGUUGCCCUCCGGGGUCACGCCCUCGUGUAAUUCUGCGCAUGACAAGCCCUCUCCUGGUGCCUGUCUACCUGCCCAAUGAGCAGCUGCUCCCGUAUCCACCUGCAGGGUCCCCCAGCCAGGGACUGUCUUGGUGCCUCCCCCGCCCCAGAUGUCCUGCCAUCACUGAUUGGUCACUCCCUGCCUCCGGUCCAACCACGGUCCUCCUCCUCAGCAUCACCACCCUGGCCGCGGUCACCGUCAUGCCUGGCCUGGGUCACGGCCGUCCUCCCUCCCUGGUCUCCACACUCCCAGCAGCCUGGGCCCCGCAGGUGCAGGUCGUAGGACCCGCUGCUCUUCACAGCAGGCGAUUCUCAAAGGAGGCAGAGCCCACCUUGCCUUGCGUAGCUUGGGAGGCGGAGCAGAGCAUGGCCGGGGACCCCCAGGGGCCACACCUGACUCUUGGUGUGUUGUUCUUGUUUAUGACUAGCUCACUGUCAUCGGGGGGUAGAGUGUGGAUGUUGGUGGGGACGACCCCGUGAGGAGGAAUCGAGCGGUGCUGGACACACGGGAGACGCGGGACUCAGGGGCCAAGAGACUUUGCUGUUUGACCUUCUCUCCGAGUUUCUCACCCUCACGCUAUUGAUUUGCGGUGUGGGUAACUCGGCUGUAGGGCCUUCCUGUGCCUUGUGGGACGCUUCCCAGCAACCCUGGCCUCUCCUCACUAGAUGCCAGGCGCUCCCGCCUCCCUCCCAUGUCCUAAAAAGCCGAAGAUGUCUGUAGGUGCUGCCAGAUAUCCCUUGGGCAGAGGGCAAACCAACCCCCAGUUGAGAAGCCCUGCUUUACACCCUUCUCCACAGUUUAGGUGUUCCCCCCGCCCCAAGAAGAGAGUAUUUAUACCAUUCUAUAAUGGAGCCAGAGAAAGUGUUGAUGGAACCAGAAUGCUGACGUGAACCCCUGCUUCAGUGAUGCCCGUUAAUGUACCAGGCCCUACUCUGGACACUUGGUCUGUGUGCGGUAAUUCAUUCCUCCAAGAAUUCC
RNAcentral lists this long non-coding RNA (2619 nucleotides) under Sus scrofa (pig). RNAcentral's name for it is "lncRNA (ENSSSCG00060003298.1)". The record is from RNAcentral. Lineage: Eukaryota; Metazoa; Chordata; Mammalia; Artiodactyla; Suidae.